RNAcentral lists this ribosomal RNA (524 nucleotides) under uncultured bacterium. Its description in RNAcentral is "bacterial SSU rRNA". It matches the Rfam family "Bacterial small subunit ribosomal RNA", at positions 29 to 526 of the family's 1533-position model. The record is from RNAcentral.
AACAAACGCUGGCGGCGUGCAUAACACAUGCAAGUCUAACGGGAAAGUCGGCUUCGGCUGGCAAGUACCGUGGCGAACGGGUGAGUAACACGUGGGUAAUCUAACCUCGAGUUUGGGAUAACCUUGCGAAAGCGGGGCUAAUACCGAAUAAGACCACGCUCUGCUCGCAGAGUGCGGUAAAAGGCGGCCUCUUCUUGAAAGCUGUCACUUGAGGAUGAGCCAGCGGCCUAUUAGCUAGUUGGUGGGGUAAUGGCCUACCAAGGCGACGAUGGGUAGCCGUCCUGAGAGGGUGUACAGCCACACUGGCACUGAGAUACGGGCCAGACUCCUACGGGAGGCAGCAGUGGGGAAUUUUGCGCAAUGGGGGAAACCCUGACGCAGCAACGCCGCGUGAGUGAUGAAGGCCUUCGGGUCGUAAAGCUCUUUUAGUGGGGAAGAAUCCCACCCGGGUUAAUACCUCGGGUGUCUGACGGUACCCACAGAAAAAGUUCCGGCUAACUACGUGCCAGCAGCCGCGGUAACAC